RNAcentral lists this ribosomal RNA (253 nucleotides) under uncultured bacterium. RNAcentral's name for it is "partial 16S ribosomal RNA". It matches the Rfam family "Bacterial small subunit ribosomal RNA", at positions 524 to 776 of the family's 1533-position model. The record is from RNAcentral.
UACGUAGGGACCGAGCGUUGUCCGGAAUCAUUGGGCGUAAAGAGCGUGUAGGCGGCCACUUAAGUCCUGCGUGAAAUCCUGCGGCUCAACCGCAGGCGGUCGUGGGAAACUGGGUGGCUAGAGUGCGGGAGAGGAGAGUGGAAUUCCUGGUGUAGCGGUGAAAUGCGCAGAUAUCAGGAAGAACACCCGUGGCGAAGGCGGCUCUCUGGGACGGUACUGACGCUGAGACGCGAAAGCGUGGGGAGCGAACAGG